Suricata suricatta (meerkat) is the source of this 651-nucleotide long non-coding RNA. RefSeq lists it as uncharacterized. The record is from RefSeq and is a predicted model, not a curated record. NCBI's taxonomy places the organism in Eukaryota, Metazoa, Chordata, Mammalia, Carnivora, Herpestidae. The transcript has 3 exons.
UUUAAGGCGUAGAAGCACCAAGCCUGCCGCGGCUGGACAAGGAAAGGCCGUGUGCUGCGAGGAGCCAGACUCCUCGGAACCGCAGCGCCAACUCAGCCACUUCCCGGUGCUGGCGCCCCCGCCCGGCGCUGUCCCCUAGACAGAAACCACGGCUCCGCCUGGCGGGCACCGGCUGCCUCAAGCUUCCUGGCCCCGGCAUGGUUUUCAUCGCCCGUGUCCGGGGCUGAUUUUCAGCUUCGAACACUCUUGUCACAUGCACAUGCCAGCUCAGCGUGGAGCGAUGCUGUGAACCCCGCAGGAACCUCGGUGUUUCCUCGGAGCUCCUCUUCAGGACAGAGAGGUGCUGGCGCGCUGUCUCCGGGAACGAGGAUGCUUUGGCAAGGGAUGAAUCCCCUGCAAAUGAAACCCGUUUUCUUAAAUAUAUUGAGGCCAGAACACUGAGCUUGGAAAGGCUUAUCUCUAUUAAAGGAACACAUACUGUAGGGUCCAUGAAUAGGAGGAUUAAAGCCCCCAUAUACUUUAGAAGGUUUUAUGUAGCUGCUUUGACAGAAACAAACAGAAGUAAAAUGUCUGCAUACAAACAUCUGAAACAGCUUAGGACUCUCGGGGCACCUGGGUGGCACAGUCGGUUAAGCAUCUGACUUCGGCUCA